Molecule: ribosomal RNA, 492 nt
Filed under: uncultured bacterium
Lineage: Bacteria
Description: partial 16S ribosomal RNA
Rfam family: Bacterial small subunit ribosomal RNA
Source: RNAcentral
AGUGAACGCUGGCGGUAGGCCUAACACAUGCAAGUCGAACGGCAGCACAGUAAGAUCUUGCUCUUACGGGUGGCGAGUGGCGGACGGGUGAGGAAUACAUCGGAAUCUACUUUUUCGUGGGGGAUAACGUAGGGAAACUUACGCUAAUACCGCAUACGACCUACGGGUGAAAGCAGUAGAUCUUCAGACCUUGCGCGAUUGAAUGAGCCGAUGUCGGAUUAGCUAGUUGGCGGGGUAAAGGCCCACCAAGGCGACGAUCCGUAGCUGGUCUGAGAGGAUGAUCAGCCACACUGGAACUGAGACACGGUCCAGACUCCUACGGGAGGCAGCAGUGGGGAAUAUUGGACAAUGGGCGAAAGCCUGAUCCAGCCAUACCGCGUGGGUGAAGAAGGUCUUCGGGUUGUAAAGCCCUGUUGUUGGGAAAGAAAAGCAGCAGGUUAAUACCCCGCUGUUCUGACGGUACCCAAAGAAUAAGCACCGGCUAACUUCGUG